UACGUAGGGCGCAAGCGUUGUCCGGAAUUAUUGGGCGUAAAGAGCUCGUAGGCGGUUUGUCGCGUCGGCUGUGAAAUCCCGAGGCUCAACCUCGGGCCUGCAGUCGAUACGGGCAAACUAGAGUGUGGUAGGGGAGACUGGAAUUCCUGGUGUAGCGGUGAAAUGCGCAGAUAUCAGGAGGAACACCGGUGGCGAAGGCGGGUCUCUGGGCCAUUACUGACGCUGAGGAGCGAAAGCGUGGGGAGCGAACAGG
RNAcentral lists this ribosomal RNA (253 nucleotides) under uncultured bacterium. RNAcentral describes it as "partial 16S ribosomal RNA". It matches the Rfam family "Bacterial small subunit ribosomal RNA", at positions 524 to 776 of the family's 1533-position model. The record is from RNAcentral.